AUUGAACGCUGGCGGCAUGCCUUACACAUGCAAGUCGAGCGGCAGCGCGGGGCAACCUGGCGGCGAGCGGCGAACGGGUGAGUAAUACAUCGGAACGUGCCCAGACGUGGGGGAUAACUACUCGAAAGAGUGGCUAAUACCGCAUACGAUCUAAGGAUGAAAGCGGGGGAUCGCAAGACCUCGCGCGUUUGGAGCGGCCGAUGGCAGAUUAGGUAGUUGGUGGGGUAAAGGCUUACCAAGCCCGCGAUCUGUAGCUGGUCUGAGAGGAUGACCAGCCACACUGGAACUGAGACACGGUCCAGACUCCUACGGGAGGCAGCAGUGGGGAAUUUUGGACAAUGGGCGCAAGCCUGAUCCAGCCAUUCCGCGUGCAGGAUGAAGGCCUUCGGGUUGUAAAGCUCUUUCGGCCGGGAAGAAAUCGCACAGGCUAAUACCCUGUGUGGAUGACGGUACCGGAAUAAGAAGCACCGGCUAACUACGUG
Molecule: ribosomal RNA, 482 nt
Filed under: uncultured bacterium
Lineage: Bacteria
Description: bacterial SSU rRNA
Rfam family: Bacterial small subunit ribosomal RNA
Source: RNAcentral